RNAcentral lists this ribosomal RNA (217 nucleotides) under Campeiostachys nutans. RNAcentral describes it as "Elymus nutans partial small subunit ribosomal RNA". The stretch from base 47 to 217 matches the Rfam family "Eukaryotic small subunit ribosomal RNA", at positions 692 to 864 of the family's 1831-position model. Lineage: Eukaryota; Viridiplantae; Streptophyta; Magnoliopsida; Poales; Poaceae. The record is from RNAcentral.
GGGUCUACCCAUUGGUCAGGCUUAAUUGUCUGCACUGGUGAGAUGGAUCUCUACCUUCUGAGGAACUUCCUCGCCAUUUAUUUGGUGUGAUGGGAAAUCAGGACUGUUACUUUGAAAAAAUUAGAGUGUUUAAAGCAGGCUCACGCUUGAAUACAUUAGCAUGGAAUAACGAAAUAGGACGUUUGAUUCUAUUUUGUUGGUUUCUAGGAUCGACGUA